This is a long non-coding RNA of Amphimedon queenslandica, 441 nucleotides long. RefSeq lists it as uncharacterized. The transcript is spliced from 2 exons. The record is from RefSeq and is a predicted model, not a curated record. NCBI's taxonomy places the organism in Eukaryota, Metazoa, Porifera, Demospongiae, Haplosclerida, Niphatidae.
GGCUUAAAACCUAUGAUACAACCACUGCUAAGCAAACAAAGUUUGAUGAUGAUAUACCAAUGCAAGCUUGUCAAAUAUAUGGUAUUCACAAGACUAAAAAUGUUGCAAAAGAUGCAGUAUAUGAGUGUCCUGAUGUCAAUGCUAAUGACACUACUAUUUAUGAAGAUAUGAACCAGUAAAAACUAACAGUGCAAUUUAAUAUACAUGUACAUGUACACUGUGUAAUACAACAGUAUAAAAUGUCCAUGUGCUUGUAUAUUCAUUUUGUAGCUGGAUAGUGUGACAUAGAUAUACACAACUAUAUACAUACUUCUCUAGAUAUACAUCAUACUGAGUCUAUUAUACUGUAUAAUCACAUUAGUGUUAUUGUAGCUACUUUUAGUCAAAUUUUUGCAGUUUGUUCUUUUGAUGUUAUCUAAUCAAUGAAGUUUUCAGUUACUU